UACGAAGGGGGCUAGCGUUGCUCGGAAUCACUGGGCGUAAAGGGUGCGUAGGCGGGUCUUUAAGUCAGGGGUGAAAUCCUGGAGCUCAACUCCAGAACUGCCUUUGAUACUGAAGAUCUUGAGUUCGGGAGAGGUGAGUGGAACUGCGAGUGUAGAGGUGAAAUUCGUAGAUAUUCGCAAGAACACCAGUGGCGAAGGCGGCUUACUGGUCCAUUACUGACGCUGAGGUGCGAAAGCGUGGGGAGCAAACAGG
This 253-nucleotide ribosomal RNA is filed under the name uncultured bacterium. RNAcentral describes it as "partial 16S ribosomal RNA". It matches the Rfam family "Bacterial small subunit ribosomal RNA", at positions 524 to 776 of the family's 1533-position model. The record is from RNAcentral.